GGACGGAAGUGCACCUUUGCCCCAGAUUUCUGCAGGUUACUUGAGAAUAAAGGAUGGCAAUAUUCCAGUUUUGUUCAUUCAAAAGUACUUGAUGAAGAAGUUGAAUCUUUCUAGCGAAGAUGAGGUUGAGAUUAGAUAUAUGGGACAGUUGAUAGUUCCCACUCUACAACUGAAUAGUUUAGUUGAUAUGUGGCUUCAGACUACCUCAUCUGAAAGAGUUCCAGCAAUAGUUGGUUCAUCAGCUAACGAUUUCGUGAUGGUGUUGGCUUAUGCUCGCAAGGUUCCAAGCCUUAUGUCUUCUUGAACUGUUCUUUUUUUGCCUUCACAUACUCGAUAAUCUGUACAACCCCGUGCAUAAGUUGAAGUAGCAGCCCAAACCUGGUUAGCUAGUAAGUUUCGUAUUUGGAAAUGUGGUGAGCUAUUAGAUGUGCAGGUUAUUUUACAGCAGCUGGCGCUGCAACUGUUACAAAUCAGAAGCAAAUUAGCAACGAGACCGUAAAGGAGAAGAGCUUAGCAGGAGAAGAGCUUAGCAUUUAUGGCACUCGCGAGAUA
RNAcentral lists this unclassified non-coding RNA (552 nucleotides) under Hevea brasiliensis (rubber tree). The record is from RNAcentral. Lineage: Eukaryota; Viridiplantae; Streptophyta; Magnoliopsida; Malpighiales; Euphorbiaceae.